UGGGGAAUAUUGGGCAAUGGGCGCAAGCCUGACCCAGCGACGCCGCGUGAGGGAAGAAGGCCCUUGGGUCGUAAACCUCUGUUGUAUGGGAAGAAGGACGUGACGGUACCAUACGAGGAAGUCCCGGCUAACUACGUGCCAGCAGCCGCGGUAAUACGUAGGGGACGAGCGUUGUCCGGAAUUACUGGGCGUAAAGGGCGCGCAGGCGGAUAUUUAAGUCAGCUGUUAAAGUCAUGGGCUCAACUCAUGGAUGCGGUUGAAACUGGAUAUCUCGAGUGCUGGAGAGGUAGGCGGAAUUCCCGGUGUAGCGGUGAAAUGUGUAGAUAUCGGGAAGAACACCAGUGGCGAAGGCGGCUUACUGGCCAGCAACUGACGCUGAGGCGCGAAAGCCAGGGGAGCGAACGG
RNAcentral lists this ribosomal RNA (405 nucleotides) under uncultured Aminobacterium sp. RNAcentral describes it as "bacterial SSU rRNA". It matches the Rfam family "Bacterial small subunit ribosomal RNA", at positions 355 to 775 of the family's 1533-position model. The record is from RNAcentral. Lineage: Bacteria; Thermotogati; Synergistota; Synergistia; Synergistales; Aminobacteriaceae.